UAGCGGCAGGCUUAACACAUGCAAGUCGAGGGGCAGCAUGAGGAGUAGCAAUACACCUUGAUGGCGACCGGCGCAAGGGUGCGUAACGCGUGAGCAACAUUCCCGAUUCUGGGACAUAACCGGUGGAAACGCCGACUAAUUUCCCAUAACAACGGUUUUGACAUCAUUACUGUUUGAAAGAUUCAUCGGAAUCGGAUUGGCUCGCGUGAUAUUAGUUAGUUGGUGAGGUAACGGCCCACCAAGACUACGAUAUCUAGGGGUUCUGAGAGGAAGGUCCCCCACAUUGGAACUGAGACACGGUCCAAACUCCUACGGGAGGCAGCAGUGAGGAAUAUUGGUCAAUGGCCGAAAGGCUGAACCAGCCAUGCCGCGUGAAGGUUAAGGUCCUAUGGAUUGUAAACUUCUUUUGUACGGGAGCAAUAAGUUCUACGUGUAGAGCGAUGAGAGUACCGUACGAAUAAGCAUCGGCUAACUCCGUGCCAGCAGCCGCGGUAAUACGGAGGAUGCAAGCGUUAUCCGGAUUUAUUGGGUUUAAAGGGUGCGUAGGCGGUAUGAUAAGUCAGCGGUGAAAUGUUCUCGCUCAACGAGAAAAGUGCCGUUGAUACUGUUGUACUAAAGUUCGGGAUGCCGGGGGAAGAAUGUGUAGUGUAGCGGUGGAAAAGCUUAGAAUAUUACACAGAAACACCGAUUGCGAAGGCAUCUCACGAAUCCGACACUGACGCUGAGGCACGAAAGUGUGGGGAUCAAACAGGAUUAGAUACCCUGGUAGUCCACACUGUAAACGAUGAUAACUAACCGUUGGCGAUAUACAGUCAGUGGCUAAGCGAAAGCGAUAAGUUAUCCACCUGGGGAGUACGUUCGCAAGAAUGAAACUCAAAGGAAUUGACGGGGGCCCGCACAAGCGGAGGAACAUGUGGUUUAAUUCGAUGAUACGCGAGGAACCUUACCCGGGCUUGAAAGUUACUGAAUAAUCUAGAGAUAGAUUAGCUAGCAAUAGCAGGAAACUAGGUGCUGCAUGGUUGUCGUCAGCUCGUGCCGUGAGGUGUCGGCUUAAGUGCCAUAACGAGCGCAACCCUUGUCGUCAGUUACCAUCAGGUUAUGCUGGGCACUCUGGCGAGACUGCCACCGCAAGGUGUGAGGAAGGGGGGGAUGACGUCAAAUCAGCACGGCCCUUACGUCCGGGGCGACACACGUGUUACAAUGGUGAGUACAGAAGGCAGCUACCUGGCGACAGGAUGCAAAUCUUCAAAACUCAUCUCAGUUCGGAUUGGAGUCUGCAACUCGACUCCAUGAAGUUGGAUUCGCUAGUAAUCGCGCAUCAGCCAUGGCGCGGUGAAUACGAUCCCGGGCCUUGUACUCACCGCCCGUCA
RNAcentral lists this ribosomal RNA (1370 nucleotides) under uncultured bacterium. Its description in RNAcentral is "16S ribosomal RNA". It matches the Rfam family "Bacterial small subunit ribosomal RNA", at positions 37 to 1399 of the family's 1533-position model. The record is from RNAcentral.